UAUGUGCCCGAAAACUAAGGUUCACCUUGAUAGGGUGAUAUAUAGAGGCUAAAAUCCUCUCAUUUCCUAAA
RNAcentral lists this transfer RNA (71 nucleotides) under Batrachoseps nigriventris (black-bellied slender salamander). Its description in RNAcentral is "tRNA-Ile". Lineage: Eukaryota; Metazoa; Chordata; Amphibia; Caudata; Plethodontidae. The record is from RNAcentral.